GAUGAAGAACGUAGCGAAAUGCGAUAAGUAAUGUGAAUUGCAGAAUUCCGUGAAUCAUCGAGUCUUUGAACGCAAGUUGCGCCCGAAGCCAUUAGGCCGAGGGCACGCCUGCCUGGGUGUCACACACCGUUACCCUCGCGCCAACGUCCAUCGUUGGCCGCGGCGCGGGGCGUGCGCUGACCUCCCGCGAGCGGGGUCUCGUGGUUGGUUGAAAAUCGAGUUCGCGGUCGAGGGUGCCGUGAUGAAAUGGUGGAUGGGCGACGCCCGAGGCCAAUCACGCGCGACUCUGUCCGGCUCGGACUCCUGGACCCCUUCGGCGUCUCCGGACGCUCUUUGGCGAGACCUCAGGUCAGGCGGGGCUACCCGCUGAGUUUAAGCAUAUCAAUAAGCGGAGGA
Molecule: unclassified non-coding RNA, 396 nt
Filed under: soil metagenome
Description: partial contains 5.8S ribosomal RNA, internal transcribed spacer 2, and large subunit ribosomal RNA
Rfam family: 5.8S ribosomal RNA (bases 1-122)
Source: RNAcentral